CCUACGGGAGGCAGCAGUGGGGAAUAUUGCACAAUGGGGGAAACCCUGAUGCAGCGACGCCGCGUGAGUGAAGAAGUAAUUCGUUAUGUAAAGCUCUAUCAGCAGGGAAGAAAAUGACGGUACCUGAGUAAGAAGCCCCGGCUAACUACGUGCCAGCAUCCGCGGUAAUAAGUAGGGGGCAAGCGUUAUCCGGAUUUACUGGGUGUAAAGGGAGCGUAGACGGCAGUGCAAGUCUGGAGGGAAAGGCGGGGGCUCAACCCCCGGAAUGCUCUGGAAACUGUACGGCUGGAGUGCAGGAGAGGUAAGUGGAAUUCCUAGUGUAGCGGUGAAAUGCGUAGAUAUUAGGAGGAACACCAGUGGCGAAGGCAGCUUACUGGAGUGUAACUGACGUUGAGGCUCGAAAGCGUGGGGAGCAAACAGGAUUAGAUACCCUUGUAGUC
This 440-nucleotide ribosomal RNA is filed under the name uncultured bacterium. RNAcentral's name for it is "partial 16S ribosomal RNA". It matches the Rfam family "Bacterial small subunit ribosomal RNA", at positions 338 to 795 of the family's 1533-position model. The record is from RNAcentral.